RNAcentral lists this ribosomal RNA (253 nucleotides) under uncultured bacterium. RNAcentral's name for it is "partial 16S ribosomal RNA". It matches the Rfam family "Bacterial small subunit ribosomal RNA", at positions 524 to 776 of the family's 1533-position model. The record is from RNAcentral.
UACGUAGGGUGCAAGCGUUAAUCGGAAUUACUGGGCGUAAAGCGUGCGCAGGCGGUUUUGUAAGUCUGACGUGAAAUCCCCGGGCUCAACCUGGGAAUUGCGUUGGAGACUGCAAGGCUAGAAUCUGGCAGAGGGGGGUAGAAUUCCACGUGUAGCAGUGAAAUGCGUAGAGAUGUGGAGGAACACCGAUGCCGAAGGCAGCCCCCUGGGUCAAGAUUGACGCUCAUGCACGAAAGCGUGGGGAGCAAACAGG